GAUGAAGAACGUAGCAAAAUGCGAUAAGUAGUGUGAAUUGCAGAAUUCAGUGAAUCAUCGAAUCUUUGAACGCACAUUGCGCCCGCCAGUAUUCUGGCGGGCAUGCCUGUUCGAGCGUCAUUUCAACCAUCAAGCCCCCGGCUUGUGUUGGGGACCUGCGGCUGCCGCAGGCCCUGAAAACCAGUGGCGGGCUCGCUAGUCACUCCGAGCGUAGUAAUACAUCUCGCUCAGGGCGUGCUGCGGGUUCCGGCCGUUAAAAAGCCUUAUUUACCCAAGGUUGACCUCGGAUCAGGUAGGAAGACCCGCUGAACUUAAGCAUAUCAAUAAGCGGAGGA
RNAcentral lists this unclassified non-coding RNA (335 nucleotides) under soil metagenome. RNAcentral describes it as "partial contains 5.8S ribosomal RNA, internal transcribed spacer 2, and large subunit ribosomal RNA". The stretch from base 1 to 120 matches the Rfam family "5.8S ribosomal RNA", at positions 35 to 154 of the family's 154-position model. The record is from RNAcentral.